CCUACGGGAGGCAGCAGUGAGGAAUAUUGGUCAAUGGGCGCGAGCCUGAACCAGCCAAGUAGCGUGAAGGAUGACUGCCCUACGGGUUGUAAACUUCUUUUAUAAAGGAAUCAAGUGAGGCACGUGUGCCUUUUUGUAUGUACUUUAUGAAUAAGGAUCGGCUAACUCCGUGCCAGCAGCCGCGGUAAUACGGAGGAUGCGAGCGUUAUCCGGAUUUAUUGGGUUAAAGGGGUGCGUAGGCGGAAUUUUAAGUCAGCGGUAAAAUUUCCGGGCUCAACCCGGGCAGGCCGUUGAAAGUGGGGAUCUGGAGUGGGCGAGAAGUAUGCGGAAUGCGUGGUGUAGCGGUGAAAUGCAUAGAUAUCACGCAGAACUCCGAUUGCGAAGGCAGCAUACCGGCGCCCGACUGACGCUGAGGCACGAAAGCGUGGGGAUCGAACAGGAUGAGAUACCCGGGUAGUC
Molecule: ribosomal RNA, 459 nt
Filed under: uncultured bacterium
Lineage: Bacteria
Description: partial 16S ribosomal RNA
Rfam family: Bacterial small subunit ribosomal RNA
Source: RNAcentral